CCAGUACGGAGUGAAAUUGUGAUAACUCCUGGCACAACCAUUAAGACCCUCAUCUAUAGUGGACUGGAACAAAGCACAGUCCAUGUUACACUUAGGUUAAAAAGAAGAAUGAAAACCCCUCAAGCCAGAUUUUAUGACUUUUUAUAUCACACUGAAAAGUCCAAUGAACUACAGAUUUCAACCAUGGAGAUUUGUGCCCUACUAUGAAACGGUGACUGUAACACAGAUUGAUGAAAGAUUCUGCAGGACGACAAAGGUUAAAGAUGUAGACCCGGAGCUAGAAGCCAGCACUGACACUGAUGGAGUGGACUGCGAUGAGAAUGCCCACAUUAUUGUCCUAUCCUCUGAUAACCAAUGUAAUAUGAAAACCGACUACAGAAGAAAGGAACAAAUUAAAUCCAUUAAUCAAGCAUAUCUCUGCUAAACAGUUGUUCGAAACUGAUGAACAAAUGAAAAAUUUACUGUUUGUUUUCAUGCUUGCAAGGAUUGGGGAAGAAAAUUAAUUAUAAGGUACUGGCCACACUAUCAGUAAAGUUUUUCUUGAGGAAACUAUUGCUUUGUCAAAGGACAAAUGAACCUCAUUAGGGAGAUUAGUUUCAGCUGGUAGUUUUGCAUUAGUACAAACUAAUAAUACACACUUCAAAAGAUACCCUGAGUAAGAUUAUGAAAAUUGAAAUCCAUUUGUUACUUCUUAAUUUACUAACUGUUAGAAAAUGACCACUCUAUUACUUAUCAUGAAACCAGAAGGAAAUCAAACACUGCUCACCUUUCAACUAAGUGCCUGAAAGAGAACUGUUGCAGUGUGGGCUUUGUGAGUGCUGCGAUGAUGAACUUACGCAUACAGGGGUUAUAACUUGGCCACGGCAUUUUACUCUUAGGUUGAAGCAUGUCAUGCAGAGCUCCAUGCCAAACGCAAUUUUUGAUAAGCUUCUUUGAAAUCCUUUUCUUUUCAAAUGUUUUAAAUGAAUUGGACAAAUAGCAAACUGACAUCUGAUAUUCUGAAUUCCCCUUAAAUCUAUACAGAGCAAGAACAGAAAAGAGAAAACGCUACUUUGCUAUCAAUCCUGUAUGGCCAGUGCACUGAGGCUCCUAAGCUGGCCACAGUGAGUGCAGUCCAGCUUCAAUGUUCAUUGAAUCCCUGGCCUUUCUGUCAAG
This 1155-nucleotide long non-coding RNA is filed under the name Homo sapiens (human). RNAcentral describes it as "non-protein coding LINC02027:13". The record is from RNAcentral. Lineage: Eukaryota; Metazoa; Chordata; Mammalia; Primates; Hominidae.